RNAcentral lists this ribosomal RNA (434 nucleotides) under uncultured bacterium. RNAcentral describes it as "partial 16S ribosomal RNA". It matches the Rfam family "Bacterial small subunit ribosomal RNA", at positions 29 to 507 of the family's 1533-position model. The record is from RNAcentral.
AGCGAACGCUGGCGGCAGGCCUAACACAUGCAAGUCGAACGAACCUUUCGGGGUUAGUGGCGGACGGGUGAGUAACACGUGGGAACGUGCCUUUAGGUUCGGAAUAACUCAGGGAAACUUGUGCUAAUACCGAAUGUGCCCUUCGGGGGAAAGAUUAAUCGCCUUUAGAGCGGCCCGCGUCUGAUUAGCUAGUUGGUUGAGGUAAUGGCUCACCAAGGCGACGAUCAGUAGCUGGUCUGAGAGGAUGAUCGGCCACAUUGGGACUGAGACACGGCCCAAACUCCUACGGGAGGCAGCAGUGGGGAAUCUUGCGCAAUGGGCGAAAGCCUGACGCAGCCAUGCCGCGUGAAUGAUGAAGGUCUUAGGAUUGUAAAAUUCUUUCACCGGGGACGAUAAUGACGGUACCCGGAGAAGAAGCCCCGGCUAACUUCGUG